Molecule: ribosomal RNA, 273 nt
Filed under: uncultured bacterium
Lineage: Bacteria
Description: partial 16S ribosomal RNA
Rfam family: Bacterial small subunit ribosomal RNA
Source: RNAcentral
GGCAGCAUGGAGAGCUUGCUCUCUGAUGGCGAGUGGCGAACGGGUGAGUAAUAUAUCGGAACGUGCCCAGUCGUGGGGGAUAACGCAGCGAAAGCUGUGCUAAUACCGCAUACGAUCUAUGGAUGAAAGCGGGGGACCUUCGGGCCUCGCGCGAUUGGAGCGGCCGAUAUCUGAUUAGGUAGUUGGUAGGAUAAAAGCCUACCAAGCCGACGAUCAGUAGCUGGUCUGAGAGGACGAUCAGCCACACUGGAACUGAGACACGGUCCAGACUCC